CAGUCGCCACGGUAAUACGUAGGUGGCAAGCGUUGUCCGGAAUUAUUGGGCGUAAAGGGCUCGCAGGCGGUUUCUUAAGUCUGAUGUGAAAGCCCCCGGCUCAACCGGGGAGGGUCAUUGGAAACUGGGAAACUUGAGUGCAGAAGAGGAGAGUGGAAUUCCACGUGUAGCGGCGAAAUGCGUAGAGAUGUGGAGGAACACCAGUGGCGAAGGCGACUCUCUGGUCUGUAACUGACGCUGAGGAGCGAAAGCGUGGGGAGCGAACAGGAUUAGAGACCCCAGUAGUCCCUGUCUCUUAUAC
This 301-nucleotide ribosomal RNA is filed under the name uncultured bacterium. RNAcentral describes it as "partial 16S ribosomal RNA". It matches the Rfam family "Bacterial small subunit ribosomal RNA", at positions 509 to 807 of the family's 1533-position model. The record is from RNAcentral.